Molecule: ribosomal RNA, 127 nt
Filed under: Clostridioides difficile
Lineage: Bacteria; Bacillati; Bacillota; Clostridia; Peptostreptococcales; Peptostreptococcaceae
Also listed under: 8 other names
Description: partial 23S ribosomal RNA
Rfam family: Bacterial large subunit ribosomal RNA
Source: RNAcentral
UCAAGAUAAGAUUUCCCACCGCAAGGGUAAGACCCCAGAAAGACUAUCUGGUUGAUAGGUCGAAGGUGUAAGUGCAGCAAUGUAUUUAGCUUAUCGAUACUAAUAGGUCGAGGACUUGACCAAUAUU